This 111-nucleotide small nuclear RNA is filed under the name Microcebus murinus (gray mouse lemur). The record is from RNAcentral. Lineage: Eukaryota; Metazoa; Chordata; Mammalia; Primates; Cheirogaleidae.
GUGCUCACUUUGGCAGCACAUAUACUAAAAGUGGAACGAUACAGAGAAGAUUAAUUACCAUGGCCCCUGCACAAGAAUGGCACACAAAUUCAUGAAGCAUUCUAUAUUAAA